UACGUAGGACCCAAGCGUUAUCCGGAGUGACUGGGCGUAAAGAGUUGCGUAGGUGGAUAGUAAAGUGAAUAGUGAAAUCUGGUGGCUCAACCAUACAGGCUAUUAUUCAAACUCACUAUCUCGAGAACAGCAGAGGUAACUGGAAUUUCUGAAGUAGGGGUAAUAUCCGUAGAUAUCAGAAGGAACACCAAUGGCGUAGGCAGGUUACUGGGCUGCUUCUGACACUGAGGCACGAAAGCGUGGGGAGCGAACCGG
This 255-nucleotide ribosomal RNA is filed under the name uncultured bacterium. Its description in RNAcentral is "partial 16S ribosomal RNA". It matches the Rfam family "Bacterial small subunit ribosomal RNA", at positions 524 to 776 of the family's 1533-position model. The record is from RNAcentral.